Capra hircus (goat) is the source of this 2913-nucleotide RNA transcript. It is a transcript of the gene named adaptor related protein complex 1 sigma 2 subunit, with no coding region annotated. The transcript has 6 exons. The record is from RefSeq and is a predicted model, not a curated record. NCBI's taxonomy places the organism in Eukaryota, Metazoa, Chordata, Mammalia, Artiodactyla, Bovidae.
AUUCCUCGGACUUCGCGGUCACCUGAGCUGCCUUCGGAGCCGUUGGCAACAGCCGAGCUGCAUCCAGCGCACCGCCCAGCCCGCCCCUCUGCUCGCCGCAGCCCCGGCUCCUCCCUCGUCCGGCCCCCGGGGCGGGGUCUGUCGGCUCGCCCUCCCCUCUCAGCCUAAGCCUUCCCUCCGCGAACCGGGUCCCCUCCCCACAGCAAAACGGCUUCUCUUCCUCAGCUCAGCGACAGGGGCUUCCCCUUAGUCGCCGCCGCCGACGCUGCCGCCGCCGCCGCCGGCCGAGCCCCGCCGCAGCCGCGGCCCGCGGCCGCCAUGCAGUUUAUGUUGCUUUUUAGUCGUCAGGGAAAGCUUCGACUGCAGAAAUGGUAUGUCCCAUUAUCAGACAAAGAGAAGAAAAAGAUCACAAGAGAACUUGUUCAAACCGUUUUAGCACGGAAACCUAAAAUGUGCAGCUUUCUUGAAUGGCGAGAUCUGAAGAUUGUUUACAAAAGAUAUGCCAGUCUGUAUUUUUGCUGUGCUAUUGAGGACCAGGACAACGAACUAAUUACCCUGGAAAUAAUUCAUCGUUACGUGGAAUUACUUGACAAGUAUUUUGGCAGUGUGUGUGAACUUGAUAUCAUUUUUAAUUUUGAGAAGGCUUAUUUUAUUUUGGAUGAGUUUCUUUUGGGAGGAGAAGUUCAGGAGACAUCCAAGAAGAAUGUCCUUAAAGCAAUUGAGCAGGCUGAUCUACUGCAGGAGAGCCAGAAUGAAGAAUGGGGAGGUUUGUCUGAGGAUAUCUUAUGAUAAAGAGCAGUCUAAGGCUUUAGUCCCUUUGACCCCCAACUUAUUUAUUGUUGAUUGCAUGAGCCCUAGGAUUGAGACCUGCACAGGGACCUGCAAAGAACAUAUUCCUAGGUGUUGGUGAUGGUUUUGUUUAUUUAUGUAUUUAUUUUUUAAAAUUAAAGUAAGUUGACAUGAUUUUAAAAAAAAAAGUACUUUCUGAAAAAUUUCAGUGUUUGAGUUCUUUUUUUACGCUCCUCUGAGACAUUGGUGGGGUUUUUUUUGCUUUUUCUGUGGUCUUUUUUAAAAUAAAAAUUCCCACUAUAGGAAUACAAGCAAAGACACUAGAAUAUAAUCUUACCCACCAACCAGAGAAUUAGAUUAAUUCUGGUUCUCAACUGGAGUUGGGAGUAGGGCAGUUGUGCCUCCUCAGGGGACACUGAGCAAUGGCUGGACACAUUUUUGAUUGUUACUACUAGCCACUACUAGCCAUGAGGUGCCACUGGCAUCUAGUAGGUGAAGAUCAAAGAUGCUAUUAAAUAUCUAACAAUGCCCAGAACAGCCCUCUCAGAGUAAGAAAUUAUCCAGCCUCAAGUGUCAAUGGUGCUGAGGUCCAGAAACCCUGGUUUAAUUUAACACCAUGUAAUAUAUAAAGAUUUCAUUUACAGAUUUCAUUUAUAUUUAUGGACUGCUACAUCUUUUCGAUAUAAUAUGCAGAUAACAAAUGACUAGCCAAAAAUGAAUCAAAAGUAUAAGGGGAAAAAAACCCUAAAAAUUGUGAAGAAAGGAAUAAAUGUGCUCAAGAACAUGUAAAUGGCUAUAAAACUCACCUCUGUGAUUAACCAAAAUUACUUUUACUUGAUCAAAAAUAACUUUUGAUAACCAGAGAUAACCCACAGCAAAACUUACGGGAUGUCACUGUAUAAUUUAAUUUCCUCAACAACUAAAUCUGUUAACAUUUAUUCAUGUUAUUUAGUUUUUGUCUGGAAACAAAAUUGAGCAUACCCUGUAGGCAGUUAGAACACUUGAACUUGCUGCCAAUUUCCCUAUCCACCUUAGGGAUUUGAUAAUUCCUUAUGAGAGGAAUAGUUUAAAUGACCAGAAAUUACAUAUAUAAUAUAGACUUAUAUUGUACAUACAUACUUUAUUGUUUUUCUUUUAUGCCCUAUUAGCCUUAUAGAAUUUACUUAGUAAAGAGAAUAUUUGAAAUUCAGUGAUUCCAAGAAAUCAUUUAUAUUUUGAAAACCUUGGUUAAAUUUAGGGCAUUUCAAGUUAUGAUCCAAAUGGAAGACCAAGACAAAUACAAUACAAUUACCCUAAGAUGUACUUAAAACUAUUUCUUUACAGUCUAAAGUUAUAUUUACUAAGUUAAUUAUUCUGCUUCUUUAUUUUUAUUUUUUUGGUUUGUUUCUUGGAUUGGCAAAGAAUUGUUUUCUCCUUAUGAGCACUUAAAUUUGUAUUCUAUUUUGGAGGAUUAGUUUAGUGAUAUCUAUUAACAAAUGUGUACACUUUUUGCCCCAUUAGUUAUACUUGAAGGAAUUUUAUCCAACAGAAAUACACAAAUGCACUAAGACACACGCUGGGUAUAAUACUAAACCAUUGGAACCUAAUCAGAUGUCCAUCAAUGGGAAAUAGGUUAAGAAAAUUACAGUAUACCAUAUAUGAAACUGUUACCUGGCUAUAAAAGAAAUGAGAUCAAUUUCUAUGUAAUGAUAUGGAAAGAUACUCAAGGUUUAUCAAGUAAGAAAAGAUCCAGGAAUAGGACAUUAAAAGUAUUACCUCUGAUGAUAUUUGAGGUCCCCCCACCUCCUGUUUUAAAACAUGUAAUGUAAAAAAAAAAUCACUCAACUUUCCUAGUGCUUCAGAAGUGCUUGUGAAAUAAGACACCAUGAGUCCUGUCAUCUAAAAGAUACCACAUUAAGUGCUUUCAUUUUUUUCUCUUUUUACCCAUUGCUAAAAAGAGAUCUUCAUGAGUUUGGACACUCAGCGGCCCUUUGGUCUUUAGAUCAAGGAAUAGGGUUCCAGAGGUAAGAGUAAGGACUUUGCCACAGUAUUCAAUAAAAACUACCACUGUAUUCUAGAACAUGAAGGACUAAGGAUACUACAUUAUAGUGCAUGGAAUAAGUGAAGCCCCUUUAAGAAAAACUG